This 551-nucleotide ribosomal RNA is filed under the name Papiliotrema flavescens. Its description in RNAcentral is "LSU rRNA". It matches the Rfam family "Eukaryotic large subunit ribosomal RNA", at positions 63 to 626 of the family's 3401-position model. Lineage: Eukaryota; Fungi; Basidiomycota; Tremellomycetes; Tremellales; Rhynchogastremaceae. The record is from RNAcentral.
AACUAACAAGGAUUCCCCUAGUAACGGCGAGUGAACCGGGAAGAGCUCAAAUUUGAAAUCUGGCGUGCUCAGUGCGUCCGAGUUGUAAUCUAUAGAGUCGUUUUCCGUGCCGGACUGUGUCCAAGUCCCUUGGAACAGGGUAUCAAAGAGGGUGAUAAUCCCGUACUUGACACAAUGACCGGUGCUCUGUGAUACGUCUUCUACGAGUCGAGUUGUUUGGGAAUGCAGCUCAAAAUGGGUGGUGAGUUCCAUCUAAAGCUAAAUAUUGGCGAGAGACCGAUAGCGAACAAGUACCGUGAGGGAAAGAUGAAAAGCACUUUGGAAAGAGAGUUAAACAGUACGUGAAAUUGUUAAAAGGGAAACGAUUGAAGUCAGUCGUGACUGAGAGGCUCAGCCGGUUCUGCCGGUGUAUUCCCCUCAGUCGGGUCAACAUCAGUUUUGUUCGGUGGAUAAGGGCAGUUGGAAGGUGGCACCCUCGGGUGUGUUAUAGCCAGCUGUCGCAUACAUCGGAUGAGACUGAGGAAUGCAGCCCCACGUUCGAGCUAGGAUGU